AGAGUUUGAUCCUGGCUCAGGAUAAACGCUGGCGGCGCACAUAAGACAUGCAAGUCGAACGAACUUAACCAUUAGUUUACUAUUGGAGCGGUUAGUGGCGGACUGGUGAGUAACACGUAAGCAACCUGCCUAUCAGAGGGGAACAACAGUUAGAAAUGACUGCUAAUACCGCAUAUGCCUUAGAAUCACAUGGUUCGAAAGGGAAAGGAGCAAUCCGCUGAUAGAUGGGCUUGCGUCUGAUUAGCUAGUUGGUGGGGUAAUGGCCUACCAAGGCGACGAUCAGUAGCCGAACUGAGAGGUUGAACGGCCACAUUGGGACUGAGAUACGGCCCAGACUCCUACGGGAGGCAGCAGUCGGGAAUAUUGCGCAAUGGAGGAAACUCUGACGCAGUGACGCCGCGUGCAGGAAGAAGGUUUUCGGAUUGUAAACUGCUUUAGACAGGGAAGAACAAAGACAGUACCUGUAGAAUAAGCUCCGGCUAACUACGUGCCAGCAGCCGCGGUAAUACGUAGGGAGCGAGCGUUAUCCGGAUUUAUUGGGUGUAAAGGGUGCGUAAACGGGAAGUCAAGUUAGUUGUGAAUCCCUCG
This 588-nucleotide ribosomal RNA is filed under the name uncultured bacterium. Its description in RNAcentral is "bacterial SSU rRNA". It matches the Rfam family "Bacterial small subunit ribosomal RNA", at positions 8 to 605 of the family's 1533-position model. The record is from RNAcentral.